Molecule: ribosomal RNA, 398 nt
Filed under: uncultured bacterium
Lineage: Bacteria
Description: bacterial SSU rRNA
Rfam family: Bacterial small subunit ribosomal RNA
Source: RNAcentral
GGAAUAUUGGACAAUGGGCGCAACCCUGAUCCAGCCAUGCCGCGUGAGUGAUGAAGGCCUUAGGGUUGUAAAGCUCUUUUGGCGGGGACGAUGAUGACGGUACCCGCAGAAGAAGCCCCGGCUAACUCCCUUCCAGCAGCCGCGGUAAUACGGAGGGGGCUAGCGUUGUUCGGAAUUCCUGGGCGUAAAGCGCGCGUAGGCGGCCUUGCAAGUUGGGGGUGAAAUCCCGGGGCUCAACCUCGGAAUUGCCUUCAGGACUGCUUGGCUCGAGUUCGGGAGAGGUGAGUGGAAUUCCCAGUGUAGAGGUGAAAUUCGUAGAGAUUGGGAAGAACACCAGUGGCGAAGGCGGCUCACUGGCCCGCAACUGACGCUGAGGCGCGAAAGCGUGGGGAGCAAAC